This 2216-nucleotide long non-coding RNA is filed under the name Capsicum annuum. RNAcentral describes it as "long non-coding RNA (CANN_LNC009804)". The record is from RNAcentral. Lineage: Eukaryota; Viridiplantae; Streptophyta; Magnoliopsida; Solanales; Solanaceae.
GUAUUUAUAGUUUACACCAGGAAACCUAAAUAUUCUAACUAGAACAAAACAGGAAAACUAAGUCGAUACCUACCUACGACCCUACUUACGGGACGUAGGUAGUACCUAUAGGCCCUAGGUUAGUUUGUAAGUCUCAGAGAAAUUCAGAGCUUCAAAUACCUUCUUACAAAGUGUAACUAUAGGGUCUAUAGGUGCCACUUACGCCCCGUAAUUAGGUCUUUAUAGGUCUUAGAGCCAAUUUCAACCUUCAGAGCUUUCUUUUGCUAGUUUUAACCCCACCUUUGGGGUGUAAGUACUACUUACAGCCCAUAGGUGGUUCUGUAAGUAGCAUUUUAAAUACACUUCAUCAUAUUUUUCUCCUAUUCUACUCCAAAACCUAUUUUCCUGCAAAGCCAACAGAAAAACAUAUCACAUCUAACAAAAAAGGCCCAAGUACUUGCAUAAUUUUUGUCUUUAAGCAUCGAAAGUGUCAGGAAACCAUGGCACAUCAACACUCUCAACUUAGAAUAUUUGUAUGUCCUCAGGAAACUAACACAUAAUGCUUAACUAAGAGAAAUCUAAGACACCUAUGACAGUCAACUCAACUUUUGCUCAAAAUUCUUAUACCCUCCAAUUUCCAACUUUUCCAAACCAUUGUGUGGAUCUACGUAGCACAACAGUAUGACACAAAGGAAUCAUGUAAUGGAAUUACAUUAACAAUAAACAAUCAAGUGUUUAUAAAAUUUACACUACUCAAAGAGAUAACCACUUAACAACACAACUCAUGUACCCUCAUAAAAAAGAAGUUUCAAUUCUCAUAGUAUCAUCAUGAAUGUGAAUGCAAGGGACUAUGUCAAGACACUUAUGCUCAUAAAAGAAGUUCCAAUCAAUGUGCAUAGAAUACCAGAGGCUUACCCUUAUUUUAUAUACCUUAGUUUUUCAAACAGUUGGACUAGGAUUACUAUAAGACUUUGUUCGACUUGUAAUGUAUUCUAGGGGGAAGAUAUGCUACAUUUGGGAUAAUGAAACUACACUUUUAUUUGAGGCUCCACUUCUCAACCCUUCUUUUUUUAUUUUUCCCUUUUUUUCUCUUUAUUGAUUAUUUUGAUUGGGUGUGUUUUUUUUUGCUUCACUUAUACAUUUUUCUCUUUUUCUUUUUCUAUUCAAGUUUUCCACUUUGUUUAUUUCUUCUCUUUUUUUCUUUUUCUACCAUACCCAACCUUACUUUAUUUUUAUUUUUCAUUAAACAUCCUUCUACAUACCCAAUUUUAAAUACACACCCCCAUGAUAUCCACCCUCAACUUAUAGGAUUUGCACGAGUUGAGGUGCAUAGUGUCCAACAAGGGACUAGGGCCAAAAUAGGUUCACUGUAAUUAAAUGGAAAGGUAAAAGGGUAAAAAUAAAAAAAUGGUCAAUUUAGGCUCAAAUUAAGGAUCAAGGAAUACUUAUUAUUUUUUGGAUGGUUAUUUAGGCUAAGAGUGGACUAAGUCUAAAGCAGCCUAUGAUCAUGUCCUAACCAACUAUCCUACAACCUAGGUAACACUAACUGGGCAUGUUCUGGAUUAAAUGCAGAAAGAAAAUAUGGUAGACGCCUCACACACACAUGGUACAAGGUUAUAUCUCCAACUACUGCCUAUCUAGUUCAUGCAAUGAUAGCUAUGAUUAUUUUUUCCUUAAUACUAAUUCCAUGACAAGAUUUACAAUAGUCAAACAAAUAUUUACAUCAUGCAGUUCACAAAACUUUAGAAGGAACAAAACAUGUCAACUGCCCUUAGGUUCGUAUUUUUAUCCUAAUUAAACUCAAAAAACAAAACACCUACAACAACACAAAUACAACCUAAACAUUCCAUCUCUACUAUGAACAUACUCUGAGAAAAAAAGACACGACAACAAAAACCCAAAGUCAACAUCUUGACCCACAAGUAGCCCUACCCCAAUAAAAUAAGCAUGCAUUAUCCUUAAUACAUUAGGCCACCAUAAAGAAAGAGAGUUAGUAACAUACGUAUGGCACCUUAGGCCUGUAGAUCUGAUGUUAAUCAUAAUAACAUGAAAUAUCACAAACAUAGAAAUAAUAAAACACAUUGGGUUUCCUCCCAAGCAAUACCUAAUAUAAUAUCGCAACACACCCUGGGACAUUGAUUAUUCAGAAUUCAUCCAGGUAUCCAUAUGUUUGGUAUUCAAGGUCAUCAACACUAUUUAUUAUCGAAACCACCCUCAUGUCAGUCGGUUGCUUCAUA